GACGAACGCUGGCGGCGUGCCUAACACAUGCAAGUCGAGCGAGGUCCAUUCGGUAGCAAUACCGAUGAAGACCUAGCGGCGAACGGGUGAGUAACACGUGAGAAACCUGCCCCAAAGUCUGGGAUAACCCGGGGAACCCGAGCUAAUACCGGAUACCUUCUUUUGAUCGCAUGGUCAGCUGAAGAAAGUUUUUUCGCUUUGGGAGGGUCUCGCGGCCUAUCAGUUUGUUGGUGGGUAACGGCCUACCAAGACAUCGACGGGUAGCUGGUCUGAGAGGACGAUCAGCCACACUGGGACUGAGACACGGCCCAGACUCCUACGGGAGGCAGCAGUGGGGAAUCUUGCGCAAUGGGCGAAAGCCUGACGCAGCAACGCCGCGUGCGGGAUGACGGCCUCGG
RNAcentral lists this ribosomal RNA (398 nucleotides) under uncultured bacterium. RNAcentral's name for it is "bacterial SSU rRNA". It matches the Rfam family "Bacterial small subunit ribosomal RNA", at positions 28 to 420 of the family's 1533-position model. The record is from RNAcentral.